GUGCAAGGGAGAGGGCGGCAGAGCGAGGAGCUGUGCCUGGGCUAUGCUGACAGACGACUUUCCCCUUGGUUGUCAGGUUUUGAGCCUGUCAGCGGCGCUGCUGAAAAAUCCGUGCGGGUUUGCAGUCCGGAGCUGAGCCGCUAUAAUCCCCUGGGUCUGCCCGAGGAUGCUGGCGUGCCCCCCGCGUACACCUGAGCGCCUGGGGAGGGGGGAGCAGGGGCUGCCAGAAAUGUUGGCCACUGGCGGGCAGCCCCGUUAAAGGUGGAGCGUGUGCGUGGGGCAGCGCCCAUCCUCGCCGAGCCAUAACCGACGCGGUAACCUGCAGCCAUGGAGUCGCCCACGAAGGAGAUUGAAGAAUUUGAGAGCAACUCUCUAAAAUACCUGCAGCCGGAGCAGAUAGAGAAAAUCUGGCUUCGGCUCCGAGGAUUGACCGGAGAAUUGUCUGAUAUUUUGGCCACAUUCUUGGUGUAACGCCAGUGAAAAUUCUCCCCGUCAUUCUCAUUGGCUUUGUCUGGGCAAUCAUCUUUCUUUUCGCCCUUUUCUUCGCACUCGUGUUCCAGGUGCAAGAAGCCUACAGCUCUGGAUGCAGUUUGACUGGAUGUGUAGAUGAAGUCAUUCACGUUGUAUGGAGAGCAUCUAUGAAGUGCUUUGCAGAGAGAGGCAUGUUAAUGCUCAGUGAUCUCUGUAAGACCUGUUUCUAAUUAGCUCAACAGUAGUGAAGAUAUCUCCUUGCAAAUGGAGAAGAAUCAAAUUCUGGAGUUAUGCAAAUUUGCUGAAUAACCCAGAGCAAAUUAUCAUAAUGGUCUCACCUAGCCUCCGAAUCCGUGGAACAUCAAAUAGCAUUUUGCACUGCCUUCACCGUGUGGAGGCAGAGAACUCGACUCCACCCUUAAAACAGCCAAGCGUUUAAGAACUAGAAUAGGUGUCACAGCUGCAGCACUUGUCAUGUGGAAAGGGCUGGAGGAUUUGCUUAUUUAAAUAUAUCUUCAUCUCUGAGUCUUGUGAAGACCCCCUUCCCACAGCUGCUGCGGCAUCAAGAUACCUGGGAGAUGGCUGGCAGCAGCAGGGAGCAGGGCCUGAAAUAAUACAUUUCUCACGUCACCUCUUCUGUUCUGUGCGCGUGUUCAAGGACCGCUCCCAUCUGUCCACCAAUCCAUUCAGUUUCCCAAAAUUCUCCCUGCUGCAUUGAGGAACUCUCGUGCCCUGGGUGUGGGGCAGUGCUCCUGAGCUGCAGGUUGGCAUUGCUCAUCACGCUCAGCACUAAGGGCCCCUCCAUAAGAACACUCCUCCAUACAGGCUGCUGCUGGCUGUCUCCUGGGCGCGUCGUUGUUCAGCCUGCUCCCCUCUCUCAGGCACUGUUCCUGGAAGAAUACAGCGGGGGAAAGCCCAGAAGAAGAGCACUGGCGGUUCACAAGAAGUUGAAAUGUUGCUUUUUCCUACAGCUGACAUUUAAUAACCAGUCUGUUAAUGAGGAGGCGCAGUCAGGACAAUAGCUACCCCUCCCUCCUUGCGCAGGGCCGUGUCCCCAAAAGCCUUGAAUCAUUCCUAAAAGCUAUCGUCGCGCUGAAGGAGGGGGUGGCUGUGAGCUGGGGGCUGGGAACGAGAAGGAACAUUAUUUUGGAAAGGGAACACUAUGGCUUUGUGCGGUGAUUUUUUCACCCCAUGUUUAGGCUUGUUAAACAGUAAUCCGAGUGUUUCAGCCUGUAACCCGGAGUAAGGAGAGAGCCUGGCACAAAAACCAUGAGAUUUAAAAUCCUGCGUCACACCAGCUGUCUGCGAGCGGGCAGAGAGGGUGGGCUGUGCUCGGGAGGGGGAAACAAUAACAAGCACUAGUCAAUAGAUUUAGUAGAGCUUAGGGCAAGAUGCAGAUUUGUUUAGUGACUUCGCGCACGCGGCUGGUCUGCUCUGAUGUAAUUCCAGAGCAUGUUUCCUGUCUAGAUAUUUAAUCCAGGGUAUGAACAAUGAUUUCCCCCCCGCCUCUCUCCCAUCAUCGUGCAUGCAGUAACUAAUCACAGAGCCACCCUGCAUGAAACAAACUGGACAGCUGCCUGUUUGGCUCCUGCAGGAUCUGAAUACGCUCAUUUUGCAUAGUAGCAGUGAGUAAAAUAAGUUUUUUAUCUAUACACGCUUGUUACUUCCAGGGUCUAACAGCUUUUUCCCACUGGGGGAAUGGAAUUUCAGCUAAACUAUUAUGUGCUUUGAACAUGUGGGAUGUACCAAUGUUGCCACUAUAAGUUCUCUGCAAUAUGAUGUUUUACAUUAUUCCACACAGAAAUGUCCCCUUUUACACUUCUUGCUGUUCUGACUUAGUUCUUUAAGCUCUUUUCAUAGGAAAAUAAUCAGGAUACAACCAAAGAACGCACAGACAAGAUUGCAUAUCUGCUCCCUUUUUUGAGAUAUUGAACUAAGAGAAGGAAGCAGCAUCCCCCUGUUGAAGUCAGUGUUGCCCCGUGAUCACAAUGUGCAGCAUGAUGCUCAGAGCAGCAGGGAGGAAUUCUCUCCCUGCCUUCCAUCCCAUUGUUCAAGAAGAGUCACAGUCUCUUGCAGUGAGAGACGUGGAUAGGCUUGUUGAAGCACCACCCAUCCUGUGCUCUGUGGGUCAUCCUCUUUGUUUAUCGCAGAGCCAAAAGUUCCAUCAGUCAUUUGGAGCAGCCAUCUAGAAACAACACUUGGUCACAUGAAGUAGAAAUGUCUUUAUAAACAGUAAUUUGUUGUGUGAAGGUCAUAGAAUGUUGGGACUUAAUCUUUUAUUUUUUAUUAUUUAUUUAUUUAUUUAUUUUGUCUGUAACAAAUGCGGAUACCGAGAGGAGCUCUUCCUCCUUCUCAGACUUUUGGAUUUUAUUUUCCUGAAAAGCACUUUCCUGUAACUGCAUUUUUAUGAGCAUGCUUCUUUAGCAUGUGAUGUGUAUGAAGCAUAAAAUAAUUCGCUAGUUGUGUACUAAGAACAAGCUGAAUGAGCAGUAGAUGAUACUCUUUUUGACUAGACAGUCAGGAGCAGCUCCAUUUUAAUUUUUACUUAAUGUUUUUCCUCAGCUAAAUCCAUGCCAGCUACAAUGGCAAGACUUUUUUUUUGUUUAGUUUAGUUUUUUUAAUUAUUGCUUUUGUUUACUUGCUUUGUUUUUGACAUGAGGAGCGAUGGAAACAUUAGUAAAAAUACUCAAUCUACUCAAAAAUCUACUCAAGAUUACAGUAUUUUUUCUGGUUGUAUACAAAAUCCACAUGAGUUAAACUAGAUUUUUAGAAACCUUUAGAAUGACUUUUGCUGUCUUUGGUAGUUAAGAUACCAGCACUUUAAAAUACCAGUUUCUUGUCCAGUCCAGGAUGAUUCCAGGAGUGAAUUUGAGUUAGCCCUUGUGAUUUCCCCUUGUUGACACCUCAUGGUGUGACAAGCUGGAGCACUCAGCUGUCCCCACGGGGCUCCCACUGUUCCCUGCAGAUCCCUCUGCCUCAGGCUGUCUUGCCUGAAACCUUUGAGCCUUCAUAUAUACACACUGUUCAAUGCGAACCAAUUAAGAAAACUUUUCCUUUGCCUCAUUUUCACCACACUUGAUAUACGUACUGUGUCACGAAGAGAUGCACAGCGGUUAGCUCGCCUCUUCUGGCAGCCAGCACUGUUUAUCAAAGCACGAGCAAGCUGUGGUUGUCCUUCAUUAAAAUGAAGCUCAAGAAAAUAAUGACAGUUUAUCACAGAUCAUCUCUAUGUCAGUGGGAAGUAAAAUACCUGUAAGUAAUACACCUCUGGUAUGCUGUUAUCUGAACACAAUUGCUACAGCUGCAUGGGGUCCUACCCUACCCUCCUGCCUGAGGUAGCUGUGCUGAAUUUAAGGUCAUUAUCUCUCAUAAGAGCAUAUACGAUAGCAUGUAGUUGUCACUGAUGUUACUUUGCCCAGACCAUGUACAUAUAACCCCAGUGGCAACACCUUCAGGCUCUGUCCACUCUUUACUGAAUUGCUGGAGAUGGGAUCGCAGCUGCCUUGAGCUGACUGCAGAACAAAGUCCUUACAGCUUGUGCUGUCAGCGAGGCUUUUCUGUACGAAGAAUUUAAAAACAUUGCCUCUCCUGCUACACUUCACAUGGAAUGAUUACACACAUUAAGACCCAAACGAGAAAGCGGGAAACUUUGUUUAACUGCAGGUAAGAACAUUGGCAUGGCAAAACGUUGCAGAAGAGCAGAAGCAGUGCAAGAGAAGUAUGGCCUAGCAACUUCAAUCCUCUUUGGGGGAUGAAACUGUAGGUUUCUUGAAAUACUUGUUUAGACUGAGUUUAGAAAACUCAGUCGCUGAACUGGCAAAGGCUGUCAGAUCAGCUAAAUAUCAGAAUAGCAUUGUUCUUGUGCAGAAGCAGUGAGGAUAUUUGUUGACAUUUAAUUAUUUUUGCAUACAUUAUUUAGUUUGAUAAACGAAUCAGAUUAAGUUAAAUUUAUACUUUGCUUCCUCUUGUUUCCAAGAUGUGACGCACUGUCCCCUUUAUGUUCUGGCUGCACAUCUCUUGUCCCACUUCACUGUCUUGUCUCUGUUUUUCCUGCAAUUGUUGCACCUAUUUCAGGUGGUGAAUGUUUCCUGCCAUUGCAUGGUUACAUCGCACAUGCCCGUGCUUCAGAGCACGCAGACUCUUAUAAUUUACUUAAAAUGAGAAAAAUGACUGCCUCACGCUCUCACGAUUUCACUACGUCCCCAUGUAGGUCAGGGUCCAAUUUAAAAUGACUCGUCUUUUAAAAUCCCACAUAAACGCCCUGUCACAUUGGAAGUACCAGCUGAAAUCUUUUUCCUCAUCCACUUCUUACGAUUUCUUCUCCUCCGCUGUCAUUAGUCUCUGUGAUUGUAUUGUUUUUAACUUAGCGCAGUAUUUUGCUAAACAGACUGUGUGGAAGAAACAAUAAAUUACGUUUGUUAUCGAUUAGAGAGUGAUUAAAGCAAGAAAGCUGGUCUUCCUGUUUCAAUUAGGGAAUUAAAAACCCAGUAGCAGUUGAUGGCAUCAUCCCCUUCAAAGUCUGGCACUCUCAAUAUAUUUAUCUGGUCAGGGCUCCCAUGAGAUCCUGAGCUUUGACAGAUGCCAGUCCAUAGUCUGUGCUGUGAGAUUUGGGUUUUGUUAAUUGGUUUAUACAUGGUUAUUAAUAUAGGCUUUGGUAACAUAAUGCAAAUGCAUCACUAAUCCAGUGAUGAUGACGAAUAAUUUGUAAUGCAGUGAAUGUUUCAGAAUAUCGAGCUGCUGGGAGAGAAGAUUUUCAAUUUACGUGAUCCCAUCAGUUGGAAAAAGUAGCUUUAUCUGAGCCUUUCCUCCUUGGCACUGACGUCCAGGGGAUGGUGCCUUCCCCUGUUAUGAGCUAAUAUGCUGCUUUGGUGUGGUCAGAGAGGACACUGGGGCUUGGGAGCUGGGAAUUGCUCUUUAUCUGCUGCCCAGACGUGGCCACUGGGGGAGUGGGGGGAGAAGUUAUAGGAGUUCUGGGCCAGUGAAUUCCCUGGGCCAUGGAAGGAGCUGGUGAGAAAAGCAGUACAAAUGAAUUGUGGCUGGCUGCUAAGGAAGACAGCAGGGUUGGAAUAACAUCCAGCAUGGCUGCAGAUUCACUGGUGGUAAUGAAAGAGCCAGACUGGCCUUCUAGAUUGAACUGAAGGGAGGCUUGUUUCUAUUUUCCCAGAUUUUAUUGCUUAUCUCGUUGUUGAUUCACUAAGCUACCAAACAGACUUUCAGCAGUGUUAUCUAAACGCCUGUUCUAUAACAUUAGAGGCCUAAGUUUGGCAGGAAAGAGCAAGACUUACCAGAAUUUCAUGUUUCAGUGUGGUGAAAUGACUUCAUGUCUGCGCUUCCGAAGGAACUAAUACGAGGAAGCUGGUAGGGAAGCAGGAAUGAAUAGUUGAGGCUACAGGUGUGAUGGGACUCCAGUGUUAAAGGACAGAUGCCUAGGGGCUCCCACUCAGAUCUGUUCCUUUGUGUCUGCUGGUUGUUCCGUGAGGGUGGCUGAGGGCAAUGUCUUUUUAGAACUACUCUAGCAGAUUCACUUUAGCUAGUCUCUUGGUUCCCUAAAUACCCAUUGCCUGCUUUUUCCCAAAAGAACAUGGAUCUGGCAUGAAGCAGACCCUCCAUCAGAUCCGGGCUUUGUUAGGAGGUUCAAGUGGGAGAGCACAGGCUACUGGGUUUCCAGAGCUUCAGAAAAUAUAUCAGUUUGCUAAAUUCCUCGGAUCCCCAAGGAUGUCCAUUCCAAACCUACGGCAGUGACCAAACUAAAGAAAACUAAGCCACUGCAGGUGACAAAUUAUGAUUUUCAGCCAGAAAAUUUAGUAGUUUGACCAUCUGUGUGGGCUAUGGACAUGCUUGUGGCACUGAGCUGAGCAGCAUUAAAUUAACUAUGAAGUGUCACCUGUUCUCACUUGCAUCUACCACUGGUGGUUAACAGUAAGUCCAAUGCUAACAGCAAGUGUUCUGAUGCUGAUCAUGGCCCUGGAGGCUGUGAGCCCACAGAGAUAUUACCAGGGCAGAUAUAACCCAUUAGUCUGAACAUAGUGCUCAUUAACUUUUAGAUUUCACUGUAAGCUUCCAUGGUUAAAGCUAGGCAAAUGUCCUUCAUUUACUUCUUCAGCACCCACAGUUUCACUCUGUGUGCUGAAGGGAUGCCAUUACUGUCAAACCCUAGGGGAUAAAUAUGGAAUAAAUAUGGAGUAACACCAUUUUAACCAUGCUGCUGUUACGAGUAAAAAAAGUGAUUUAGGUAUUUCUUCAGAGGCUGUGUAGGAGUGAACAAGCAAUUGAUCAAGCUAGUUGAUACGCUGAGUUGUGUAGUCAUGUGGCAAAAAACAGAGCAGUUGGUAGAGCUGUUUAAUUCUCCAUCUCCUCUACCCUCCCUUCUUUCCAUACCUAAUCACGUUAACUAACCUCUCUGUAGAAUUCUGAGGAGGUCCUUACAGAAUUCAAAUGUUUUUUUGUGGUUCUAUUAAAUUCUCUUCAUCUACGGGCUCCAAGAUAGGGAGGAAGAAUGGGGACUUUUGGGAACAACUUGGGCUCCAGUUAGCUGCUGUUGUGCUAAGUUUAUGUACAAUCCACAUUUAUACAGAGCAUAACCCCGAAGAGCUAUCAAAUGAACAGAAGAGGAAUCUAAAGGGGAAACAGGAGGAAAGCCUAAGGGUACACCAGCAUUGCAUGACAGGGACGGAAGCAUGAUGCUGGGAGUAGGAUUUAUAGGAGUUGAUGAGAAUAAAAGCAUAUACAUUUUGCAUGUUUAUUUCAAUGGAAGUUGAGUGCUCAUGUAGCUUUAGCUACCUACAUCUUGUUGCUUAAAUAAUUUCCGAAGUGUGGUUGUAGGCAUCAGUCCUAAUUUUAUAUCUCACUAGCAUGUUACAAUACAAAAGACUCAUUCAUUUCUAGAAAAGCAGAUGCUGAAAUUGAAGCCUCAACUCUCUUAUUGUCUUCAUCUCAUUUCUGUCAGAAGUUGCGUUCUCCCCACCACUUUUAUUUUGCUUGUUAAAAAACAGGUGUCGUUACAACUCUCACUGGAUUUACUUUCAUUAGACUCCAGCAGCCUACUUGUACGAGCACUGGUUUUGACUUGGUACUAGGCUUGUGCAGAUGUAAUUGCAUGAAGUUCAGUGAAUUUAUAUCUAGUUUAUACUAGUAAUAGAGGACCUACCUAGUGUGAGUCACCUUUUCAUUCUCUUCAGCGUGAGAAAUGUAGACCUAUGAGUAAUACAUUCCAUGACAGAAAACGUGAGUUGAAUGGAUGUGGUAGUUCUUCUAGCACGGAAUGUGUAUAGUGGGAAAAGAAACAGAACUUGAAAAGAUUUGGUAUUAUCACCAUGUCUUGUGCAGGCACAAGCACUGGGUAGCCCAGAGGUGCAGGAAGCUCAUUCUUUCUGUCAGUUUGGUUUUGAUACAAGAAGAUCAAGUGUUUCUUGAACUCAGGGGGAAGACGCAUCUGGCUCCAGAUUUUUCCCAAAGGCUCUACUAAAGGCAAUUUAAUUUCUCAGUUCCUCCUUGCAUAGACUCCUCAUGGAGAGAUAAACCAGGGUAGCUUGUCACACCAACAAAAAAAUCAACAACUCACCCCACCAUGUUAACUCACACACAGUGACGGCAGCCAUCCAUUGAUGCUGACUGUGGUACGAAAAGAGGCAUCUUCUAAUUUAAUUGUUUGCAGUGACCUUAUUUCAUGGCAGAUGGGUGCAAGCGGUGGCUGGCACUCUUAAAGCAGGUGGAUGUCAACACUUUCUAUUUUUUCAAAACAAACUGAAGACUAUUUUUGAAAACAACCUGUGUCAACAUCAUCUUUUUAUAUUGUUGGUGAAUAGUGUUGUAGAAUUUUUUCUUCUUGAAAUUCUGGAAGUUCAGGUGUACAGUAAAUGUUUUGCUAGAUGUCAGCAGAAGUAUGGAUGCAGCUACUGAUUUCUCUCCAAAGCAAAAGCAUGUAGCAGUGAUGCUGAAUAUAAGAAUAGAGAUUCCUUUCGUUAUGUUGUCUUCCUUCAACCAAAACAAGCAAAUUCAGUGCCUGUAAAUGUGGUCACUAACUCGGUACACAUAAACCUUGACUGUAAUUGGACUGCAGGUGUGGAAACAACAAUAAAAAUCAAUAAUAAAAACGUAUAUGUGCUUCUUGAAACUGUGAGUAGACAAAUGCUUUCUUUCUAGUGUGGUUUUCCAAUGCAGUAAAAAUAUUAUUGAAAAUAAGGUUAAAGGUGUAACUGAUAAGAAAAGUGAUGCUUUAUUCAAAUGCAAACAGCACCCUAAAGCUGGGCCACCACUUUGCAAGAAGCUUUUAGCCAAUCAGGAGAUAGUGAAAGGUAUUUUUGCUGGAAUGUGAAGGCUGACUUCACCAAGAGAAAGACUUUACAAAAUCAUGUGAAAGUCACGAGCCAAUAAGGGGAAAAAUUAGUUCUGAUACUUCUGCAACAGACCAUGACACACUUAAAGGGGAAAUAAAUGACUUAUAAAUAACUUAAUUUUUAAAUUUAAAAUGUUGUAUUGAUAUAGCAGCAAUAAAAAUCUGAAUAAAACCUUUGGAUUUCCUGGGAAGAAGAUCAACGUGGAUUUGAAUGGCCAAGCAAGCAGAAGGUUUUUCAGCAGCUUCUUUCUGCAAGAAAUUUUAGUGAAGUUCCGUGUUUGUCAGAAUAUUUCUGACAGAAUACAACUUCCAAGUUGGAACUCUGCAAGAUGAAAUUUCUGUUCUUCAUCCUUUUGUAAUUAAAAUGAAAAUUUCCCUUAGAAUCAGAUGGGCCCAAGUGGGAUUCUGCUUGUGUACAUCAGCAUCGUUAAUGUCAGUAAGCUAGACUCUUGGUGCUGCUGUGUUUGUUAUUUCACUCUUUUGCAUUGGCUCAAAUUUAAAUAAAUAAUUCUUCAUGCAGCCAAGUAUAAAUAAAAUAUUUAAAAAUCUUUCUGAAUUAAAUGUCUAGGGCUUAAUUUAUCAUUCUGGCAUGGUCAGAAGCAGUACUUGAGUACUAUUUCCAAAUGUAAUAUUGAAUGAAACAUUUGACAGCCAGUAUACACUAUUAAAUGUAAUUCCACCUCCCCCCCCCCCCCCCCCCCCAUUUUUAAGAAAGAAUACCCCUUGUUUGGGUAUGCUGGACCUGUCUGAGUUAGCCACAAUAUUACAUCUGCAGUACUAUCAGAGAUGAGGAAGUGGAGUUGGAUGCUUACAGCAGUACACCAUUACUACAUACUCAGAAGGCGGGGACCACCUCUUAGCGUCUUGCUAAACAGCAGGAUGUUAAUUUUGCACUCUUCACUGUAGUCCUCACUGUGUUAGCAUCACUGCUUGUUAAGUUUAGAGCUCAUUAGUUUCACUCUAACUUACAAAAGCAUGGAAGAACUGAAGUGAGAUCAGUGCCCUGCUUUGACAGGCACUGUACAAAGCCAUUGAACAUGCCGUUGCAAGAUAAUGAGUUGACAUUUAAAGUACAGUGCAGAAAUACCUCUGCAGCUGACUGUAUGGCCACAUAGGGUUUCUGAUUGGACCUUGACACCUUGUGCCACUGCCUGUAGAGGACAAACCCACAUUGCUAAGAGAAAAGCUUGCAGCCUUUACCAUAACUGAUGUGAUGGAAAGGUGGGGUUGUUAGGCUAGAAUCAUGAAUAGGUGCUGUCAGCAUCCCAUUGCCCUUGCAAUUUCUGGUCCUGGGUACAGCUCACUUAUGUCCUGACAUACAUACAUGCAUUGUGGCACCUGGGAUUUGGCAGAAAAUAGAACUUGAGAGGACCUGAGUUUUCUUUCCAGAGCAGAGCUGUUGUGGAAUCACAAUGACUUUGCACUGAUUGACCACAGCAAUGUAGCUGAUGCAUUACAUCACCAUCACUAUAACAUAGUGGGCUCUCCACAUAGCCGACCACAUUUCUAUGCUGUAUGGGUCACAAAAAGUACACAUCAACAUGAGAAGGUGGUUCCUGUCACUUGCUGUUUAGAGUAGUAACUGAUUCCUUCCCAGCUGCUGUGACCCUUUCUUAAAUAAAAGGGCAAGACAUACACAGGCAAGUUAAUGGCACACUGCUGCAGUUAAUGGCAACAGCUACUGAGUUUAGCUGGAGAUAGCUGCAUCAAUUUUGGAACCAUCUUAUGGCAUAAGAGUCAUCCCUUAAUUGCACCUAUUGCUGACCCUCUCCUUUUCUCAUCCUCACCAGUUGAGCUUUCUUAUCUCAGUUGUGUUUUGUUCUUUUC
Molecule: long non-coding RNA, 10633 nt
Organism: Gallus gallus (chicken)
Lineage: Eukaryota; Metazoa; Chordata; Aves; Galliformes; Phasianidae
Exons: 3
Source: RefSeq, a predicted model, not a curated record